This is a long non-coding RNA of Apis cerana (Asiatic honeybee), 1931 nucleotides long. RefSeq lists it as uncharacterized. Lineage: Eukaryota; Metazoa; Arthropoda; Insecta; Hymenoptera; Apidae. The record is from RefSeq and is a predicted model, not a curated record.
CUAUAUGGCAUAUUUAUAAUAAAUAUAAUAAAAUAAUAAUUCUGAAUAAUAUUAUCAAAUUCAAUGAGAAUAUUAUUAUGAUAAACAUAAUACAAAUUUAUAGAAAUAAAAAAUAUGCUUUAAUAAAAAAUAUCUCAAGGAUUUUCUUCCGUUCUUGUUCCUGCUAUCCAGUUUGCGCGAUUCGGUAGAGUUAACAUACUCAUUGGUACUUAUAUUACGCGUUAUAAUGUUUGGCCAACAUGAAACGAUACCGCAUACCGUCAUUUAUCCUCGAAUAAAGUUGUGCCAACCAACGAAAAGGCAAGGUCAAGGUCAUGUCCGGACGUGCACACGCGAUGCCAUAUGGCUUUUUCGAAUCCGCAUUCGAAUCGAUUCUUCUUGCAUGCUUACCAAGUCACGAUGAUCCUUACCAAGUGACGUCAAGCCGGCUCGAAGAUGAUCGAUAAUGAGUAAUUUUGACAAAGCAUUCUCUCAAUCGCACCUUUUUUAACCUUUUUUUUUUUGUCUUCGUGAUAAGCAUAAUGUUUAACCAUAUUUCUUUUUUCUCUUUUUAAAUUUUUCAAAUUGAAAUUAUUGUUAUGUACAAAUGAUGAUGUGAGUGAUAAUGUUUCUUUUUUUUUCAAAUAAAUAAAAAUUUCUCUUUUUAAUAAAACGUGAAAUAUGAAUAUACUGAUCAAUUAUGAAUUUAAUUGAGAAAUAAAAUGUUUUUAUAUGUUAAAAAUAAUAAAGGUGCCAUAAGAUCUGGUUUAUCUGGCUUACCGUUGCAUUUACAUUCUAUUCUAUUAUUAACCUCAAAUAGAUUAAAUUGUAUGUCUUUUAAUUCGCAAUCAAUUCGUGUCAAGAUUGUUCUAUCUUAUUAAAUUGAAUUUUUAAAAAUGAUUCAUUAUAUUGUUUCUGCUGAAUUAAAUAAAAAUCUUUCGUUUUAUUUUUAUCAGCAUGUUAAAAUAAUAUUAAAGAACAAAAAGAGAAGAAAGAUAGUCACGAAAGAUAAAACUUAAUUAUAAUUAAAAUCAAUCUCACAUUUGACUGGUGUACAAAAUCCCAUAAACUAACGUUUUUAUAGUUUACUUGAUUAUCGCAAUUUAACUUUCCUUUUAAAAUUAAUUUUAUGAUCAUACAGAGUGACAUGUUUACCGGCAAAGAAUUUUCUGCGUACUGUUUCCACUUAAAAGACACCAAACGAAUCGAGACAGUUUCUACAACUUUCUCAUUUGCAUCAUCGUUUCUGCCACUUUUCGAGAUCGAGCCAGUGAUAUGUAAAUUUACACCGGUUAUACUUCACGUGCUGCAUGUGAAACAUUUUAUUAUACGACAUGUAUGCUCGCCAAAGUAUUUCGAGAAUAAGUGAGCCCGAUUACAUUCCCUUUCCACAAAAGAAGAUGCGGGGAACUUGUUCGCUUACGAUAGAAAGGGAAGGGAUGUUAAAAUUCCAUUCGUACACGUGAAUUCGUUCGAAAAAGUAAAACUCGAUAGAACGGAUAUCGGCAAUGACGGAUAAAACGUGCGUAACAAAUAAAAACACAUGCGGCUACGUGCCAUUCCUGACUUGUUUGUAUUGAAAUUUCAAAUCGAAUCGACGUGUAAAAUUGCUAGGACGUUUGUCGAGUAUAAUACUCGUCCAUUCUGUCUGGUGCAACCAGAUUAUAUGUAUAAAAUCUAGGACAGGCUACGAGGUUCCGCAAUAGAUUCUAUUGCCGAUUAUUUACUUACUUUCAACUGAUCGAGGUUGAAGCUGAGCUAGAUUUCUAUUGAUGAUUUAUUGAUUUUAUUAAAUAUAUUGGUCUUGUGAUUUCGAGUGCAGAAAUCAUAUCGGUGGAUGAUGAUGGAUAAACGGAAUGAAGAUCAUUCAAUUUUCUGGAAAAUAAAAAUUAUUAUUUAAAAGAGAAACGAUGCUAAAGUGUCAGAGAUAGUACACAAUAGCCUACUUUAUC